This 253-nucleotide ribosomal RNA is filed under the name uncultured bacterium. RNAcentral's name for it is "partial 16S ribosomal RNA". It matches the Rfam family "Bacterial small subunit ribosomal RNA", at positions 524 to 776 of the family's 1533-position model. The record is from RNAcentral.
UACGUAGGGGGCAAGCGUUGUCCGGAAUCAUUGGGCGUAAAGAGCGUGUAGGCGGCCAAGCAGGUCCGUUGUGAAAACUGGAGGCUUAACCUCCAGACGUCGACGGAAACCGCGUGGCUAGAGUCCGGAAGAGGAGAGUGGAAUUCCUGGUGUAGCGGUGAAAUGCGCAGAUAUCAGGAAGAACACCAAUGGCGAAGGCAGCUCGCUGGGACGGUACUGACGCUGAGACGCGAAAGCGUGGGGAGCAAACAGG